CCACCUCUUCCCAUUCCGAACAGAGAAGUUAAGCUCACUCACGCCGAUGGUACUGCCUAUUUAGGUGGGAGAGUAGGUAGCCGCCUCUU
RNAcentral lists this ribosomal RNA (89 nucleotides) under Alistipes sp. Lineage: Bacteria; Pseudomonadati; Bacteroidota; Bacteroidia; Bacteroidales; Rikenellaceae. The record is from RNAcentral.